RNAcentral lists this non-coding RNA (131 nucleotides) under Actinomadura sp. The record is from RNAcentral. Lineage: Bacteria; Bacillati; Actinomycetota; Actinomycetes; Streptosporangiales; Thermomonosporaceae.
ACCAGGAAGCCGGUGCGAAUCCGGCACGGUCCCGCCACUGUGACCGGUGAGCGGACCCCACAAUGCGGCCACGGCCCGCGAGAGCGGGCGGGAAGGCCGGGGCGAGCGUCGAUCCGGGAGUCAGGAGACUG